RNAcentral lists this long non-coding RNA (342 nucleotides) under Citrus x clementina. RNAcentral describes it as "Citrus clementina (C. clementina) long non-coding RNA (CCLE_LNC006888)". Lineage: Eukaryota; Viridiplantae; Streptophyta; Magnoliopsida; Sapindales; Rutaceae. The record is from RNAcentral.
AGCAAACUAGCUGCCAGAUAAAAAUAUAUAAAUUCCACAUACGAUAUGACUACAUAGAUCCAAUACGUCCUAAUACCAAUCAAAAAUCAACAAGAGGUAUACAUACAAAAAACCAUGGUUAAUAACAUAUAGCAAAGCAAAUAGUGAGAAUUCGCCUAAUUACAUAUAGCAAAGCAAAUAGUGAGAAUUCGCCUAAUUACUACUACAUAGAGAUGUUAUGAUCUGAUCUAGACUACAUCAACGACCUAGAGGGUACUUUCCGUAAUCAUUGUCCCUCCGGCUGUUCCUGAACGCACAGCAGCCAAUGGAGUAAACGAUGAUAAGCACUAUGAGGAAGACAAU